Molecule: long non-coding RNA, 199 nt
Filed under: Lathyrus oleraceus (garden pea)
Lineage: Eukaryota; Viridiplantae; Streptophyta; Magnoliopsida; Fabales; Fabaceae
Description: Pisum sativum (pea) long non-coding RNA (PSAT_LNC026924)
Source: RNAcentral
UUACAUCGUCCAUUUCUGCUUUCAUCAUUCUCUGGACCGUUUCCCCAAUUACUACACACUCUUUUGUAGCGAUAGCGGCACAACAAUCAUCAACACGAGGGAAAGCUCCACUUUUCGUUGGACGUUUUGGGACCACAGACAUUGGCAUUCUUAACUGAUGCUUCUCAUUCACCUCUACCCCUUUCUUGUCCUUCGACAU